This 308-nucleotide unclassified non-coding RNA is filed under the name uncultured fungus. RNAcentral's name for it is "partial contains small subunit ribosomal RNA, internal transcribed spacer 1, and 5.8S ribosomal RNA". Lineage: Eukaryota; Fungi. RNAcentral also lists the same sequence under 1 other name. The record is from RNAcentral.
UUUCCGUAGGUGAACCUGCGGAAGGAUCAUUAUUGAAUAAAUCUGACGUGGUUGUCGCUGGCUCCCCCGGGAGCAUGUGCACGCCCGUCACCUUUAUUUCUCCACCUGUGCACACACUGUAGGCCUGGAUACCUCUCGUCGCAAGGCGGAUGCGUGGCUUGCUGUCGCUUUCGAAAGAAGGCCGGCUUGCCAUGAAUUUCCAGGUCUAUGAUUUCUUACACACCCCAAACUGAAUGUUAUGGAAUGUCAUCUCAAGGCCUUGUGCCUAUAAACCUAUACAACUUUCAGCAACGGAUCUCUUGGCUCUC